RNAcentral lists this ribosomal RNA (253 nucleotides) under uncultured bacterium. Its description in RNAcentral is "partial 16S ribosomal RNA". It matches the Rfam family "Bacterial small subunit ribosomal RNA", at positions 524 to 776 of the family's 1533-position model. The record is from RNAcentral.
UACGUAGGGUGCGAGCGUUAAUCGGAAUUACUGGGCGUAAAGCGUGCGCAGGCGGCUUUGCAAGACAGAUGUGAAAUCCCCGGGCUCAACCUGGGAACUGCAUUUGUGACUGCAAGGCUAGAGUACGGCAGAGGGGGAUGGAAUUCCGCGUGUAGCAGUGAAAUGCGUAGAUAUGCGGAGGAACACCAAUGGCGAAGGCAAUCCCCUCGGCCUGUACUGACGCUCAUGCACGAAAGCGUGGGGAGCAAACAGG